GAUGAACGCCGGCGGUGUGCCUAAUACAUGCAAGUCGUACGCACUGGCCCAAUUGAUUGAUGGUGCUUGCACCUGAUUGACGAUGGAUCACCAGUGAGUGGCGGACGGGUGAGUAACACGUAGGUAACCUGCCCCGGAGCGGGGGAUAACAUUUGGAAACAGAUGCUAAUACCGCAUAACAACAAAAGCCACAUGGCUUUUGUUGAAAGAUGGCUUUGGCUAUCACUCUGGGAUGGACCUGCGGUGCAUUAGCUAGUUGGUAAGGUAACGGCUUACCAAGGCGAUGAUGCAUAGCCGAGUUGAGAGACUGAUCGGCCACAAUGGAACUGAGACACGGUCCAUACUCCUACGGGAGGCAGCAGUAGGGAAAUCUUCCACCAAAUGGCGCAAGCCUGAUGGAGCAACACCGCGUGAGUGAAGAAGGGUUUCGGCUCGCAAAAGCUCUGUUGUUGGAGAAGAACGUGCGUGAGAAG
This 473-nucleotide ribosomal RNA is filed under the name uncultured bacterium. RNAcentral describes it as "bacterial SSU rRNA". It matches the Rfam family "Bacterial small subunit ribosomal RNA", at positions 28 to 462 of the family's 1533-position model. The record is from RNAcentral.